Oncorhynchus tshawytscha (Chinook salmon) is the source of this 5259-nucleotide long non-coding RNA. The record is from Ensembl. Lineage: Eukaryota; Metazoa; Chordata; Actinopteri; Salmoniformes; Salmonidae.
CCCGUCUGAGUGAUUGUUAUUCAGAGUGUGGCAGUGACGACAGAUAGAGGUACAAGACAGCCUGUUCCCACGUAAGACCCCAGCUGUGGUUGGCUGAGUGUGUGUGUGUGUGUGUUGUCGUGUUUUUCAUGUGAAGAAGCUACCCAGCGUGUUACAGUACUAUACACUCUACCGGCACAGACACCCACAAGACAUUCCUGAAACUAAGCGGUCCACAUUCCACACCUAGCGUUACGAUUCUGGAAGCUGUGCUUUGCUCAUAUAAACACAAUGAGUCAGAAGAAAUAUCUAAAUAUUUAGUGGAACUUUUCCCUUUGCCCAGAGCAAGAGCAAGGUAGAGCAAGAUGGACCAAUACCCCAGUCGACCCGGAGUGAGAGUGCUCCAGAAUGGAGAUGUGCGAGCCAGAAAAUGAGGGAUGGGGGCAUAGUAGCAGGAAGUAGGGGUGCAGCACCCCCUGAUUAAAACAUAAAUAUGUGCACUGGGCCUUUAUUACUCCUGUUUGAGCGGAGAAAAAUACUCCUCAGCACCCCCACAACAUCUUUGGGGGUGUGGGGUGCUCCCUGGCACAGACAGGAGUGGAAUGGAACAGACAGGAGUGGAAUGGAACAGACAGGAGUGGAAUGGAACAGACAGGAGUGGAAUGGAACAGACAGGAGUGGAAUGAACAGACAGGAGUGGAAUGGAACAGACAGGAGUUGAAUGGAACAGACAGGAGUGGAAUGGAACAGACAGGAGUUGAAUGGCACAGACAGGAGUGGAAUGAACAGACAGGAGUGGAAUGAACAGACAGGAGUGGAAUGAACAGACAGGAGUGGAAUGAACAGACAGGAGUGGAAUGGAACAGACAGGAGUGGAAUGGCACAGACAGGAGUGGAAUGGAACAGACAGGAGUGGAAUGGAACAGACAGGAGUGGAAUGGAACAGACAGGAGUGGAAAAGGAGGGAGGAAAGAAACAAGCACAGAAAUGUCUGUUUAGUCCCACCCUCCCCCCGUUCUCACUCUCUCCCACUCUCUUUUUUCACUGUGCAGUACCUUGGCUGUCAGAGCAGGUGUUGGACAGGGUAUAAAGGCCAUCUGGAGUGAGGGAUCGCUGAGCAGUGAGAAUUAAGACCUCCACACUCUGACAGGGCUCAGACAAACCAUCUGGUCCCCCCCUCGCUUAAAGAACCUGUUCCCAGCUUCUUCACACACCGACCUCCAGCGCUCACGCUCUCUCACUAAAACACACAUGUUCACUCACUCCCCUCGAUUAGCAUCUUCAGUCGGGAGGUUAGUGGAUUGUAAAGACCUGCUUCUUCCUCAGAGAGAUUUCUUUGUUUCUUUAUUCUUGUGACUUUUUGGAGUGGAGUCGGGCUGGCAUGGCGUGGAGGAGACGUGCAUUUGGACCCAGCAUGUCAGUCUGUCUCUGGGCUUUGUGUCUGUCCCUCAGUCUCAUCUGGACUUGUCAAGUGACCCAGGCAGCCAUCUACAGACUCGAAGAUGAAGUACAACCUUGAUUAAAUACUCUCUUAGAAAAUAGGGUUAAUGGAGGGUUCUUCAGGUGUCGCUGCGGGAGAACCUUUUUUGGUUCCAACUAGAAACAUUUUACCCAACAAACAACCCUUUAAGAAUCCUUUCAUAAAAAUGUUCUACCUGGAACUAAAAAAAAAGGGUUCUGAACCUGUUAUGGUUCUAGGUAGCACAGAUGGCGUAUCGCUGCAGAAUGCUUCAUGGUUGGAACCACACAUGUGGAGAUCAUUCGUUCACCUACUCUGUGUCUCACAAAGACACGGCGGUUGGAACCAAAAAUCGCAAAUUUGGACUCAUCAGACCAAAGGACAGAUGUCCACUGUUCUAAUGUCCAUUGCUUGUGUUUCUUGGCCCAAGCAAGUCUCUUCCUCUUAUUGAUGUCCUUUGGUAGUGGUUUCUUUGCAGCAAUUCGACCAUGAAGGCCUGAUUCACGCAGUCUCUUCUGAACAGUUGAUGUUGAGAUGUGUCUGUUACUUUAACUCUGUGAAGCAUUUAUUUGGACUGCAACUUCUGAGGCUGGUAACUCUAAUGAACUUAUCCUCUGCAGCAGAGGUAACUCUGGGUCUUCCUUUCCUGUGGCGGUCCUCAUGAGAGCCAGUUUCAUCAUAGCGCUUGAUGGUUUUUGCUACUGCACUUGAAGAAACUUUCAAAGUUCUUGAAAUGUUCUGGAUUGACUGAUCUUUACUGUCUUAAAGUCCAUGUAUCUACAAAGAGGUUUCGUUUGAGCCUGGACAGACCUUCUACAGGGGUUGUAACAAGUGCAACUGCCACGAAAAUGGCUACUUCUGUCUCUCGUGAGUAAACGGACCAAAUUAGUGACAGUAUGCAAGUCAAACAUAUAAACCAAACAUGAAUUCCGUUUUUGCCAAUAUCACGUAUUAUUUUCGUUCAUAUCCCCAGACCGAUGAAACCUACCACAUGGCCCAACAAGUGCCAGCGGUUUCCAACGGAGUGUGGCUACCGCGUGAUUUAUAAGGAGGUGGAGUGUCAAGUCUACAGCUGGAUCUGGUGAAGGCAGACAGACACCUAUGCCCCCCUACAGUCAACAUACACGAUCGCAAGACUCUGGCUGUGGACAACCUCUUCAAUUUAAGUAGUUAUCAUGCAGAGAACUGACCACAUCCAACCUUCAAUUUAUCAACUUGUUCAAUCAAAGGAACCAAUUCCCAAAUUGAACGACCCAACUCCAAAAGUUUAGUCCUUCGUUUCAAUAAAUGUGUGUAGGGGUCAGAUUGUGUGUGUGUGUUAAUGUUACUAAAAAGUGGGACCGAAGGACCUCAAUUGGCACGGAUUCCAAAUGGGCAUAGAUUCAAAUUCCUAUAGAUUCUCAAACACAAGAACACAAGUACCACAAAAAGUAGCAACAUACUCUGACUGUACAGUAGUGUCCUAUCAUCCAAUAUGAGUGCUCAGCUUCCUGCCCUCCUCUCCUUACUUUAGUGACCACUGAUCUUGAUCACAUCGACAGUGUCAUUAUUUUUCGGUAGACAAAAAGUACAUUAAAUUUCCAAUGGAAAGCUGUGGUUGCCCUGCAGCAUUGCAGAGGCAGUUGCAGUGCUUAAUGUAUAAAUUCGAUUUGUCGAACGUAUGUGUAACGACCCUGGGUUUAUAACCGAGGAAAUCGACUCUGCCGCUGGAGCAUGCUUUUGCGGCAGUCGAUAGCGCGCCGGACCUCGGGUCCCUGCUGUUUCAUUACAGUAUGCAUCAAAUCGUAUGCGUAGACGGCGUGACAUAAAUGGUAGCAGAAUGUGAAUGUUGAACUUUUGUUGCACACAUAUCCAGAUGAUGCGUAUAAUUUUACACAAUGAUUAACAUAGUUAAAGGUUAAAUAAAAAUGUGAUAGAGUUGUAACGCCUUGAUCACGCCGAUAGUGUCAUAGCGCAAAAUAGUAAGCGGCAUCAUCUGGAUUUGUGUGCAACAAAGGUUCAACAUGAACUUUCUGCUACCAUUUCUGUCGAGCAGUCUACGCAGUUUGAUGCAUACGUUCGAUAAAUCCAAUUCAUGCAUCACACAAAACACACUAACGGCCUCUGCAAUUCUGCAAAGCAAACAGCGUUCCAUUGGAAAUGAAUGUACUUCUGGUGUACCAAAAUGCAAUGACGGCGUGAUCGAGGCGUAAGCGGCCAACUGAGUAGUUUGAUGAGGACUCCGACCAUAUGUCAAUAUUGUAUCACCUGUUGUUUACGAAGCAUGUGACAAAUAAAAGUUUGAUUUGACCUCGUGACAAGACAAACGGCGUGCUUCUAGAUAUUAUAUUACCCGGCACUGCCCGAGUGUGGCCCUCAAAUCUCAACCAGAUACCCUUCAUUGCCAUGCAGUGUUACAAAGGUCUAUAUCGGUUCCUUCGUAGGUGUUCAGUCUUCUGUAUGUCGCAGACCGCUAUGUUUUCAAUGUGAGGAAGCGAGAGCGCCAUCGGUCAACUUCACAAACCGAGGCUGGAUUUACUCUACUAUGCACGCUCCAUACAGGCUCCGCAAACUCUUUGCGACUUCACCCGCACUGAGAUUUUCGCUGUGCAUGGCAGAGCGUGUAACUUCACACAAUUGUCAGUGAUGAAUUGCUCAGCAGAAAGCUUGACUGUGGCGUUUACUCAGCCUUACAGGGCAACUCCCUAGCCUCACCCGUCGACUGGUUUUUCAGGCUAAGGAUAUAUUUCACCGUUCACGUCACUGUGUAUACAGUAUAUGUAUAGAAUCAAUUAUUUCAAAUAAAACAGGGCAGUGUUACAUACUGUGUAACUAAAUGUCAACUAUUUCUUCAACAGGUUUUUGGGAACGGAUAGUGCAUGAAAUAUCAACAUGGUCAUUUUUCUAAAUACAUCAUCAGUAUUUUAUUAUGAAAAUGCAUUUACAUCUCUUCUGCUUUUUUUCUCUUUUGGAUGGGGGAGUCCACAUAGUCACCACUAUGUUGUGUAAAAAAUAAAACGAGUUAAACGUCACCCCCACACCCCCCAAAAAAUGCAGUGUCCAGUUUCUCUAGGAGUCGAAAGUGAAGAGGUAAAACAAAGACUUUGUCAACAGACCUAAUCAUCCCAAUCCGACCAUCUGUCAGUCCCAGAAAAUAAAUAUCAUGCGGCAAAUUUAGUGUACUAGAUUUCUCUUUACAGUUUAACACAUUUGACACAAGUACACAUGAUCAUACAUUGUCAUUUUUGUUUCAUUUUAGGGGUUAUUUCUUUAUUUAAGGUGCUGGUAAUUUUGGGUGACAUUUCUCAGGAUGUCUUCUGUCAAACAUUCAUUCAAACAGUGAGUACCUUACGUCUGUGGAUGAGGCAAUAAGAAGAAAGGUCAAGUGUCCGGUCAAGCUGGCCAGUCCCUCUUUCCGAAGCCCCAAAGACAUUUACUCUCUGAACGAUUUCCAUCUUCCUGGCACUAGGGUACUACAACUCCCAGCGUGCAUCAGCAAUGUCAUUUAACGUUGAUUGAAAGUCCCCAUGCUGUGGUCAUGGCAGAUGACUAAUUUUGCGUUGUGAUGUUCAUCUUUUUGUUUAGUAUUCCGUUGGUAAGGACCCUAAUAAAAUGGGGGUACAGCAUUCUGUGGAAAGUGAGACUUCUUGAAGCAGCAACAAAUAAGGAGAACACAGCAGCUUUUUUUUAUACCGUUCAAACCAUCCUCCUGUUUUCUUAGGUGGCAUAUGGAAUGCAAGGAAUGGUCAGAAGGAGAGAAAAAUAUAUUCUCAAUACAUUUUGAUAAAACUAAUCCGACAGGAUUCAAAAGAGACGACAAACCCAACAACGGAGUAAAAAUA